GAUGAACGCUGGCGGCGUGCCUAAUACAUGCAAGUCGAGCGAACAGACGAGGAGCUUGCUCCUCUGACGUUAGCGGCGGACGGGUGAGUAACACGUGGAUAACCUACCUAUAAGACUGGGAUAACUUCGGGAAACCGGAGCUAAUACCGGAUAAUAUAUUGAACCGCAUGGUUCAAUAGUGAAAGACGGUUUUGCUGUCACUUAUAGAUGGAUCCGCGCCGCAUUAGCUAGUUGGUAAGGUAACGGCUUACCAAGGCAACGAUGCGUAGCCGACCUGAGAGGGUGAUCGGCCACACUGGAACUGAGAAACGGUCCAGACUCCUACGGGAGGCAGCAGUAGGGAAUCUUCCGCAAUGGGCGAAAGCCUGACGGAGCAAAGCCGCGUGAGUGAUGAAGGUCUUCGGAUCGUAAAACUCUGUUAUUAGGGAAGAACAAAUGUGUAAGUAACUAUGCACGUCUUGACGGUACCUACUCAGAAAGCCACGGCUAACUACGUG
RNAcentral lists this ribosomal RNA (497 nucleotides) under uncultured bacterium. RNAcentral's name for it is "partial 16S ribosomal RNA". It matches the Rfam family "Bacterial small subunit ribosomal RNA", at positions 28 to 507 of the family's 1533-position model. The record is from RNAcentral.